UAUAAAACAUAUUAUUAUAUACAGAGUAAGAAGGCUUUUAGGAGUCGAUUAUUUUCUUUUUUGAGAAAUAGGUAGCAAGCUACCUGCUUCAUUCAUUAAGAAAAAUGAACUAGGCGUACAUGAUGAAGGCAGCUGAGGCCUCCUUAAAAACCGAAGGCAACCAAAAAGUCACUAAAAAAGUACAGUGUACAGAACAAACCACGGAAGUAACUAACUAAAAGAAGUAAAGAAAUCAAAUACGAAUGUUAAAGACAGAAUUUGAUCACAGGACCUCGUUCCAAACUUUGGUCAAGCACUUAACACGUUCUAGGGCCCGGGAAGCAUUGGGACUCGCGUCUUGGAAGAUAGUGUUAUUACGCUCGGUCCAUAUCACCCACCAAAUUGCCACCAAAAGGGUGAGACUAUGUGUCCUGAGCCUUGCGUUGUGAAUGCUCGCUGUCUCCAUCCAUAGCCAGCGGACAUCCCCCGAUUCCAGUUCGCUUCUCUCUACAAUUCCAGCACUGACUAGAAGAUAUCUGGCGGAGACACAUUCUCGGAAGAGGUGAUCACAAUUUUCUGGAUUUAGCGCGCAAAAAAUGCAAUACUGGUCCACUGUACAUCCUCGACGAAUCAAUCUAUCUGCUGUAAGUAAUCUCUUGCGUAGAAGUAUCCAUAUAAAUACUUUGUACUUCGCCGGAAUUCU
This 682-nucleotide long non-coding RNA is filed under the name Ananas comosus (pineapple). RNAcentral describes it as "long non-coding RNA (ACOM_LNC006551)". Lineage: Eukaryota; Viridiplantae; Streptophyta; Magnoliopsida; Poales; Bromeliaceae. The record is from RNAcentral.